This 789-nucleotide ribosomal RNA is filed under the name Calonarius lilacinovelatus. RNAcentral's name for it is "eukaryotic LSU rRNA". The stretch from base 291 to 444 matches the Rfam family "5.8S ribosomal RNA". Lineage: Eukaryota; Fungi; Basidiomycota; Agaricomycetes; Agaricales; Cortinariaceae. The record is from RNAcentral.
AAAGUCGUAACAAGGUUUCCGUAGGUGAACCUGCGGAAGGAUCAUUAUUGAAAUAAACCUGAUAAGUUGCUGCUGGUUCUCUAGAGAGCAAUGUGCACACUUGUCAUUUUUGUAUCUUCACCUGUGCACCUUUUGUAGACCUGACUAUCUCUCUGAAUGCUUUUAUAGCACUCAGGAUUGAGAAUUGACUACUUGUCUCUUCUUAUAAUUUCAGGUCUAUGUUUCUUCAUAUACCCUAAUGUAUGUUCAUAGAAUGUAAUUAAUGGGCCUUUGUGCCUAUAAACCUUUACAACUUUCAGCAACGGAUCUCUUGGCUCUCGCAUCGAUGAAGAACGCAGCGAAAUGCGAUAAGUAAUGUGAAUUGCAGAAUUCAGUGAAUCAUCGAAUCUUUGAACGCACCUUGCGCUCCUUGGUAUUCCGAGGAGCAUGCCUGUUUGAGUGUCAUUAAUAUUAUCAACCCUUUUUGGUUGGAUGUGGGUUUGCUGGCUCUCCCAAGGUCAGCUCUCCUUAAAUGCAUUAGCGGACAACAUUUUUGCCAACUGUUCAUUGGUGUGAUAAUUAUCUACGCUAUUGACGUGAAGCAAGGUUCUGCUUCUAAUAGUCCAUUAACUUGGACAAGCCCUCUUUUAUUAAUGUGGCCUCAAAUCAGGUAGGACUACCCGCUGAACUUAAGCAUAUCAAUAAGCGGAGGAAAAGAAACUAACAAGGAUUCCCCUAGUAACUGCGAGUGAAGCGGGAAAAGCUCAAAUUUAAAAUCUGGCAGUCUUUGGCUGUCCGAGUUGUAAUCUA